This 2159-nucleotide long non-coding RNA is filed under the name Marmota monax (woodchuck). The record is from RNAcentral. Lineage: Eukaryota; Metazoa; Chordata; Mammalia; Rodentia; Sciuridae.
CAGUGCCUCAUGCAUGCUAGGCAAGUGCUUUGCCACUGAGUUUCAGCCCAUCCCAUAAAGUCUCUUUUUUACUGGUGUCCCCUACCAAUAGAAUGUAAGUCUAAUGCUGAUGAAGGCCUUCUUGCCACCACCUGGGCAGGAAGUACACAGGCUCUGAGGCAGGUUAUUUCUGCUUUGUGGGAGACCAGUAUACAUGGAGUGGAAGGGAAAUAGUAGGAGGUGAGGUUACAGAGAGUAGAUUUUCUGAACCGUAGACAAUCAGUGGAAAGCGGCUAGAAGAAAGAGAAUAUUGUUGACAUUUAUAUACGAGCCUGGAUCUAGCCAUACCUGAAAGCCAAAACUGUUUUUGGUUACAUAAGUCCAUAACUAACAUUUUUCUUUUUUCCUCUCCCCCCACCACCUGACAACAUCCUGAAUUAGCUCAUGUCAUACUUGAAAUGUGCUGGUACAUACAUACCCUUAAUCCCAGCGGCUCAGGAGCCUGAAGCAGGAGGACCGCAAGUUCAAGACCAGCUUCAGCAACUUAGCAAGGCCCUAAGCAACUUGGUGAGAACCUGUCUUUAAAAAAAAAGGGCUAGUUAGGGAGGUAGCUCAGUGGUGAAGUGCCUCUGGGUUCAAUCCCCAGUACCCCGCCCCCACCAUAGGAUUACAAUGAAAACUAAAUCAUCUUUCCACCCUUGACCUCCUCUCUUCCUCCCCAGAGGAAGUGUUAAUAGUUUCUUGCAGAGAUGCUCUGUGUACCUGGAACAGUCCAACAUUUACAUGCAUUCAAACUAGCUAGAGAGAGAAAAAAGGGAUUUACUGGCUUCUUACUGAAAUGUCAGGGGCGAUAACUUCAGGUAUGUUUCUAUCCAGCUGCUCAAAGAACAUUCUCAGGAUUCUGGCUCCCUGUCACUCUGAGCUCCUUGCUCUCUGUGGGUUUGUUGUUAGGCCAGCCUCUCCAUGGGCUGACAGGUCACUGCCAGGAGGGUAAAGCUGUUAGUUCCUUGCAGCUCCCCGGGAAAGUGAGUGUUCCCUUAUGGCUCUAGUCAAGUCUCAGGGGAAACUUUUCUUUUUUUUUUGGUACCAGGGAUUGAACCCAGGGGUACUUAACCACUGAGCCACACCCCCAGCCCUUUUUGUUUUUUAUUUUGAGACAGGGUCCCUCUAAGUUGCUGAGGCUGAUCUCAAACUUGUGCUCCUUGAGUAAUGUGGACUUUAAAUGUUCAUAUUUGGCAUGCAUUUCACUGCAUGUAAAUUACAUUUUGAUAAAAAUGUUUUGUGAAAAGUAACAAGGGGUUAUUUUAAUUUCAUCUUUGCAAUUUUUUUGUUGUUGUUGUUGUUGGUGUUGGGAUUGGAACCAGGGCUUCACACAUACUAGGCCAGUGUCCCACCAGAGCUACACCCCAGCCCUCAUCUUUACAGUUCUGUGCUCUUAAUAUACAGCCGAAACCAUAGCAAUGUAUACUAAAAUCGCAGUUUGAGAUGGGCCAGCUUAACACCGACUGCGUAUGAUCAUAGCUCUUGAGACAAACCUGCUCUUGCCCUCUCUGUGUGCUGUCUAGACUCCUGAUCCAGGCGCUGUGGAUUAAGACCAGCCUAGGGUGGGUGUGCACUUGAAAUUGUGCAUCCAAUCCACAUCUCAAGGGUGUACAUGUUAUACUCAAUUUAAUGAUGGGGGCUGGUCUGUGGGGGCUGCUUGGUCCAGGUGAAGGUGUGACAGGUCUCUGGCCCAAAGGAGCUUUUGGAAUAGUUUUCCUGCCAACUGUGACCUUGACACUGACAAGGGGAAGGUGCUCAGGUACUAGAGGAUGUUCAAGACUCAAGGUGAGCCACAUUUCUCAUCCCUGACUUGCAGGUGGCCAGGCUGCGUUCACCAGUCCAACCUGGUGUUGGAAAGUAAACUACUUAAAAUCCCUUGCUUUCUGAGAAUGGGACAGAACAUUCAGGACACUAAAAAUUCAUGUGGGUGGAUUAGCCUAUAGGUAGAUAAUCAAAAUGGAUUAUGAGACUCUGAAAUAAAUAGAAUUGAUUGAUGGUAAAGAAUUAAGCCAGAAAAAUGGUUGGACAGAAUAAUGAAUACAGAAAGAGAGCUUCAUGCCUCUGAAACCCUAGACUCUGACCACAGUGCUAUUUAUUUUAAAUCAGGAGAGAAAAGAAUUUCCUAAACUUAGCUGGUG